AUUGAACGCUGGCGGCAUGCCUUACACAUGCAAGUCGAACGGCAGCGGACCUUCGGGUGCCGGCGAGUGGCGAACGGGUGAGUAAUAUAUCGGAACGUACCUUUCAGUGGGGGAUAACGUAGCGAAAGUUACGCUAAUACCGCAUAUUCUGUGAGCAGGAAAGCAGGGGAUCGCAAGACCUUGCGCUGAUUGAGCGGCCGAUAUCAGAUUAGCUAGUUGGUGAGGUAAAGGCUCACCAAGGCGACGAUCUGUAGCGGGUCUGAGAGGAUGAUCCGCCACACUGGAACUGAGACACGGUCCAGACUCCUACGGGAGGCAGCAGUGGGGAAUUUUGGACAAUGGGCGCAAGCCUGAUCCAGCCAUGCCGCGUGAGUGAAGAAGGCCUCGGUUGUAAGCU
RNAcentral lists this ribosomal RNA (397 nucleotides) under uncultured bacterium. RNAcentral describes it as "bacterial SSU rRNA". It matches the Rfam family "Bacterial small subunit ribosomal RNA", at positions 30 to 432 of the family's 1533-position model. The record is from RNAcentral.